Molecule: transfer RNA, 89 nt
Filed under: Curtobacterium sp. MCSS17_016
Lineage: Bacteria; Bacillati; Actinomycetota; Actinomycetes; Micrococcales; Microbacteriaceae
Description: tRNA-Ser
Rfam family: tRNA
About the family: Transfer RNA (tRNA) molecules are approximately 80 nucleotides in length. Their secondary structure includes four short double-helical elements and three loops (D, anti-codon, and T loops).
Source: RNAcentral
GGGUGCGUGGCAGAGAGGCCUAUCGCACCGGCUUGCUAAGCCGGAGGGGCACGUCAGUGCCCCCGCAGGUUCGAAUCCUGCCGCACCCG